Molecule: transfer RNA, 73 nt
Filed under: Planctomycetota bacterium
Lineage: Bacteria; Pseudomonadati; Planctomycetota
Description: Planctomycetes bacterium (activated sludge metagenome) tRNA-Thr
Rfam family: tRNA
About the family: Transfer RNA (tRNA) molecules are approximately 80 nucleotides in length. Their secondary structure includes four short double-helical elements and three loops (D, anti-codon, and T loops). Further hydrogen bonds mediate the characteristic L-shaped molecular structure. tRNAs have two regions of fundamental functional importance: the anti-codon, which is responsible for specific mRNA codon recognition, and the 3' end, to which the tRNAs corresponding amino acid is attached (by aminoacyl-tRNA synthetases). tRNAs cope with the degeneracy of the genetic code in two manners: having more than one tRNA (with a specific anti-codon) for a particular amino acid; and 'wobble' base-pairing, i.e. permitting non-standard base-pairing at the 3rd anti-codon position.
Source: RNAcentral
GCUAGCGUAGCUCAAUUGGCAGAGCAGUGGUUUUGUAAACCACAGGUUGCGGGUUCAAGUCCCACCGCUAGCU